This 451-nucleotide ribosomal RNA is filed under the name uncultured bacterium. Its description in RNAcentral is "partial 16S ribosomal RNA". It matches the Rfam family "Bacterial small subunit ribosomal RNA", at positions 354 to 796 of the family's 1533-position model. The record is from RNAcentral.
GUGGGGAAUAUUGGACAAUGGGGGGAACCCUGAUCCAGCCAUGCCGCGUGUGUGAAGAAGGCCUUUUGGUUGUAAAGCACUUUAAGCGAGGAGGAGGCUACCGAGAUUAAUACUCUUGGAUAGUGGACGUUACUCGCAGAAUAAGCACCGGCUAACUCUGUGCCAGCAGCCGCGGUAAUACAGAGGGUGCAAGCGUUAAUCGGAUUUACUGGGCGUAAAGCGCGCGUAGGUGGCCAAUUAAGUCAAAUGUGAAGUCCCCGAGCUUAGCUUGGGAAUUGCAUUGGAUACUGGUUGGCUAGAGUAUGGGAGAGGAUGGUAGAAUUCCAGGUGUAGCGGUGAAAUGCGUAGAGAUCUGGAGGAAUACCGAUGGCGAAGGCAGCCAUCUGGCCUAAUACUGACACUGAGGUGCGAAAGCAUGGGGAGCAAACAGGAUUAGAUACCCCAGUAGUCC